Molecule: ribosomal RNA, 207 nt
Filed under: uncultured bacterium
Lineage: Bacteria
Description: partial 16S ribosomal RNA
Rfam family: Bacterial small subunit ribosomal RNA
Source: RNAcentral
CGUGUAGGCGGUUCGAUUAGUCUGCUGUAAAAGUCGGGGGCUCAACCCCCAAAAGCCGGUGGAUACUGUCGGGCUAGAGUACGGAAGAGGCGAGUGGAAUUCCUGGUGUAGCGGUGAAAUGCGCAGAUAUCAGGAGGAACACCAAUUGCGAAGGCAGCUCGCUGGGACGUAACUGACGCUGAGACGCGAAAGCGUGGGGAGCAAACA